GACUAAGUAAUGAAAUUAUCAUACUGGUCUUGUAAACCAGAAUUGGACAAGUUCCCUAAGUCU
Molecule: transfer RNA, 63 nt
Filed under: Eubranchipus grubii
Lineage: Eukaryota; Metazoa; Arthropoda; Branchiopoda; Anostraca; Chirocephalidae
Description: tRNA-Thr
Source: RNAcentral